AUUACUGUGAUUUCACAAUACCAUACAGUAUUAUUGCACAGUAAAUUACUGUACUCAAACAUUUACUGUAAAAUCACAGUAGCUCUAUCACAUUACAGCACCUUGUUGUGAAAUUUGAAUUGCACUUGAACCGCACAGCAUUGUGGGGCGAUUUCUAACGUUCACCCCUCCCACCCGCACCUGCCACCCUCAACUGAAUUUUCAACUCAGCCGUCCACCAGUGACUUCAAUUAUCACUUUUCUGCAUGUGUAAGCUGUACAAACUCUGCCAUCAUAUCCAAGACAUUGCAUUGUGAGGACUGGUGCCCUGGGAACACUGAGCGCAUUCUCGAAAAUUCCAAAUUUGUGCCACUUCCAUACGAAGACAGCCCAGAAUAAUUGGGCUCCAUCAACCAUCCCGGGUAAAGUCGGUCUGUCCUGAUUGCACUACUUGCUAAUUGAUGACGUCUAGAAGCCAUAGCUGCUUCCCUCUGCCCUCACAAAUAAACUGAUACCAGGAAUUAACAUACAGUAGAUGGUGAUGGUGGUGGUGGCAAGGGUGCCUUCACAAGGUGCCAUGUCACAAUCUCAGUGUGGAGCCAAAGGCUGCUAUUGCAAGUCAGAUGGGGGACGAUCGAUGUAAGGCAUCAGAAAGGUGGUGUACAUACAAAGGCUGGAGCUGCUGGAGACAGUGUUGCACUUAGAUACUUGAUUUACUGCCGAUGGUACCAUCAGAGCACCACCCUACCCCUGCAGGACCAGAAGAGGACGGACAGGGGGCCAACAUUUUUUAACACUCUGACCAUGGACUAUUUAAACCAUUGAGGUAACGCAGACGUCUGA
Molecule: long non-coding RNA, 822 nt
Organism: Sardina pilchardus (European sardine)
Lineage: Eukaryota; Metazoa; Chordata; Actinopteri; Clupeiformes; Clupeidae
Exons: 6
Source: RefSeq, a predicted model, not a curated record